UAGUUCGGGAUAGCCACUGGAAACGGUGAUUAAUACCGGAUACUCCUUCUUGUUAUAAGACAAGUCGGGAAAGUUUUUCGCUAAGGGAUCAGUCUAUGUUCCAUCAGCUUGUUGGUGAGGUAAUGGCUCACCAAGGCUAUGACGGAUAUCUGGUUUGAGAGGAUGAUCAGACACACUGGAACUGAGACACGGUCCAGACUCCUACGGGAGGCAGCAGUGAGGAAUAUUGCACAAUGGAGGAAACUCUGAUGCAGCAACGCCGCGUGGAGGAUGACGCAUUUCGGUGUGUAAACUCCUUUUAUUAGGGAAGAUAAUGACGGUACCUAAUGAAUAAGCACCGGCUAACUCCGUGCCAGCAGCCGCGGUAAUACGGAGGGUGCAAGCGUUACUCGGAAUCACUGGGCGUAAAGGGUGCGUAGGCUGGCUUUUAAGUCAGAUGUGAAAUCCAAUGGCUCAACCAUUGAACUGCAUUUGAAUCUGAAAGCCUAGAGUUCAGAAGGGGCAGAUGGAAUUAGUGGUGUAGGGGUAAAAUCCGUAGAUAUCACUAGGAAUAUCAAAAGCGAAGGCGAUCCGCUGGGAUGAUACUGACGCUG
RNAcentral lists this ribosomal RNA (593 nucleotides) under uncultured bacterium. Its description in RNAcentral is "bacterial SSU rRNA". It matches the Rfam family "Bacterial small subunit ribosomal RNA", at positions 134 to 748 of the family's 1533-position model. The record is from RNAcentral.